This is a long non-coding RNA of Prunus dulcis (almond), 934 nucleotides long. RefSeq lists it as uncharacterized. The transcript has 3 exons. The record is from RefSeq and is a predicted model, not a curated record. NCBI's taxonomy places the organism in Eukaryota, Viridiplantae, Streptophyta, Magnoliopsida, Rosales, Rosaceae.
GUCAAUGCGUUUUCUAAGUUGCCCUGCGCGCCUCUCUCAGCCUCUCUCUCUCUGUGUCUCUCUCUCUCUCUCUUCUUGUCGCCCAAGCCUUGCCCCUCUGUUUCUCUGUUGCUAACUCUUUCUGCUGUGCCCCCUGAAACCAUAUUUCCGAAAGUCAUAGCCGGGACCCCAUACCAAAACACCAACCUUGUUAGUGUUGUAUUUACAGAUGCCUUCUUCAAAGGGAAAGAAGCAUUCAAAGAACCAAUCAAGGUUGUCGAAUUCUGACAACUUUUCUUAACCUGGGUCACUUGAUUUUGAAGCUACUGAUGAGAGUUUCGCAAGCUCUCUUGAACAAGCUUCGGUUAAAUACCCAUCUCUGAUUCAGAACGACCCCAAAAGCUGUAAAAUUUGACUUUCAGAACCUUCCAUUCCAAUGUCGCCUCUUCCUUCUCUCCUGGAUCCAUUGUUGCGGUGUCUCUUCCUUUUUUGAAGAGUAGAUUUUCAGAUGGAUUUCCUCUCAGCUCAUUAGCAGAUGAAUGUGCUAGACGUUUUGGGGUUGAUUCUUGCGGGCAGUUAACUAAUGACGCAGGGAACUACUUUGCUCUUGCAAUGAUUUUUCCUUCUUCUAAGAUUACAAAUAACGGUGUGCUAUUGUCUUCAAAUCUUUCCAAUACAAUGGGUUGUCCUCCAUCAGGCAGGGUCAUAUUCAUCCACUACGUACAAAAUCAAUCCCAAGCUGGUCUUGUAUGUGAUACAAGAAAAGCGCGUAGAACUAAAGUUAAUUGUGUCUCGGUAUACGACUGCAAGGAUGUGUUCAUAAGUUAUGGUCCUCCUUUUAUUACAUUCAUUCAUGAAUAUCUUUUUUUUAUAGUUAGUUUUGGUUUACGAUGUGCAAAGGGAGUGCUUCUUCAUGAUCCUCCUGUUAGAGUUUUUGUAAAGAAUAGUGGAGAGA